GACGAACGCUGGCGGCGUGCUUAACACAUGCAAGUCGAACGGAAAGGCCCUGCUUUUGUGGGGUUCUCGAGUGGCGAACGGGUGAGUAACACGUGAGUAACCUGCCCUUGACUUUGGGAUAACUUCAGGAAACUGGGGCUAAUACCGGAUAGGAGCUCCUGCUGCAUGGUGGGGGUUGGAAAGUUUCGGCGGUGGGGGAUGGACUCGCGGCUUAUCAGCUUGUUGGGGGGGUAGUGGCUUACCAAGGCUUUGACGGGUAGCCGGCCUGAGAGGGUGACCGGCCACAUGGGGACUGAGAUACGGACCAGACUCCUACGGGAGGCAGCAGUGGGGAAUAUUGCAGAAUGGGCGGAAGCCUGAUGCAGCAACGCCGCGUGCGGGAUGACGGCCUUCGGGUUGUAAACCGCUUUCGCCUGUGACGAAGCGUGAGUGACGGUAAUGGGUAAAGAAGCACCGGCUAACUACGUG
RNAcentral lists this ribosomal RNA (468 nucleotides) under uncultured bacterium. Its description in RNAcentral is "partial 16S ribosomal RNA". It matches the Rfam family "Bacterial small subunit ribosomal RNA", at positions 28 to 507 of the family's 1533-position model. The record is from RNAcentral.